Regulatory RNA element from Gasterosteus aculeatus (three-spined stickleback), 54 nucleotides. It matches the Rfam family "UnaL2 LINE 3' element". From Rfam's summary of the family: The eel long interspersed element (LINE) UnaL2 and its partner short interspersed element (SINE) share a conserved 3' tail containing a stem-loop that is critical for their retrotransposition. Presumably, the first step of retrotransposition is the recognition of their 3' tails by UnaL2-encoded reverse transcriptase. The solution structure of a 17-nucleotide RNA derived from the 3' tail of UnaL2 was determined by NMR. The record is from Rfam. NCBI's taxonomy places the organism in Eukaryota, Metazoa, Chordata, Actinopteri, Perciformes, Gasterosteidae.
UUAAAAAUGCAAUGUAAGUUGCUUUGGAUAAAAGCAUCAGCUAAAUGACAUAUA